GUGGAUGCUAGCCCUUGAGGUUAAGCCAUGCAUGUUUGUGAAGCGGCUUUGUCUGCGGAUGGAUGGACGGCUCAGUGGUACUGCGGGAUCUGAUUGGGGAGCGGGAGUAGCUACGGGAAACUGUAGAUAUGGCCGUGCAGCGCGUUGCUUUUGUUUGUGGCGUGUGUCUGAGUGAGCUGCGGGCCUAUUAACUGGUAGCUAGGGUAAUGGCCUAGCUAGGUUGUGAUGGGGACGGGGGAUGAGGGUCCUAUUCCGGAGAGGGGGCCUGAGAGAUGGCCACCACGUCCAAGGAUGGCAGCAGGCGCGGAACCUGCCUGAUCCUUUGAGUUGGGAGGCGGUUAUUGGGUGUGAGUGAGUGCACGAUUGUAGAGAGAUUGUGCGGUACUGGAGGGCAAAUCGGGUGCCAGCAGCCGCGG
RNAcentral lists this ribosomal RNA (416 nucleotides) under uncultured Microsporidia. RNAcentral describes it as "SSU rRNA". It matches the Rfam family "Microsporidia small subunit ribosomal RNA", at positions 23 to 405 of the family's 1311-position model. Lineage: Eukaryota; Fungi; Microsporidia. The record is from RNAcentral.